AUGAAACUGUCAACUGUCAGCCUCUCUCCUCCCCUCUCUAAUCAUAUCCUCUCCUCCCCUCUCUCUUCAUAUCCUCUCUCCUCCCCUCUCUCUUCAUAUCCUCUCUCCUCCCCUCUCUCUUCAUAUCCUCUCUCCUCCCCUCUCUCCUCCCCUCUCUUUUCAUAUCCUCUCGCCUCCCCUCUCUCUUCAUAUCCUCUCUCCUCCUCUCUCUCCUUCUCUCUCUCCUCCCCUCUCUCUUCAUAUCCUCUCUCCUCCCCUCUCUCCUUCUCUCUCUCCUCCCCUCUCUCUUCAUAUCCUCUCUCCUCCCCUCUCUCCUCCUCUCUCUCCUCCCCUCUCUCUUCAUAUCCUCUCUCAUCCUCUCUCUUCAUAUCCUCUCUCCUCCCCUCUCUCUCUCUCUUCAUAUCCUCUCUCCUCCUCUCUAUCCUCCUCUCUUCAUAUCCUCUCUCACUCCUCCUCUCUCUUCAUAUCCUCUCUCACUCCUCCUCUCUCUCCUUCUCUCUCUCCUCCCCUCUCUCUUCAAAUCCUCUCUCCUCCUCUCUCUCCUUCUCUCUCUCCUCCCCUCACUCUUCAUAUCCUCUCUCCUCCUCUCUCUCUCUUCAUAUCCUCUCUCACUCCUCCUCUCUCUUCAUAUCCUCUCUCACUCCUCCUCUCUCUCCUUCUCUCUCUCCUCCCCUCUCUCUUCAAAUCCUCUCUCCUCCUCUCUCUUCAUAUCCUCUCUCCUCCUCUCUCUUCAUAUCCUCUCUCCUCCUCCUUCUCUCUUUUCAUAUUCUCUCUCCUCCGCUCUCUCCGCCUCUCUCCACUCUCCUUCUCUCUCUUCAUAUCCUCUCUCAUCUGCUCUCUCCUCCCCUCUCUUCAUAUCCUCUCUCUCUCUCCUCUCUUCAUAUCCUCUCUCCUCCUCUCUCCUCUCUCCUCUCUCUUCAUAUCCUCUCUCUCUCCUCCGCUCUCUCCUUCAUAUCCUCUCUCUUCUCUCUCCUCCUCUCUCUCUCUUCAUAUCCUCUCUCCUCUGCUCUCUCCUCUGCUCUCUCCUCCUCUCUCCUUCUCUCUCUCCUUCUCUCUCUCUUCAUAUCCUCUCUCCUCUCUCUUCAUAUCCUCUCUCCUCUCUCUCCUUCUCUCUCUCCUCCGCUCUCUCCUUCAUAUCCUCUCCUCCUCUCUCCUUCUCUCUCUCCUCCGCUCUCUCCUUCUCUCUCUCCUCCGCUCUCUCCUUCAUAUCUUCUCUCCUCCGCUCUCUCUCUUCAUAUCCUCUCUCUCUCUCUCUUCAUAUCCUCUCUCCUCCUCUCUCCUUCUCUCUCUCCUCCGCUCUCUCCUUCAUAUCUUCUCUCCUCCUCUCUCCUUCUCUCUCUCCGCUCUCUCCUUCUCUCUCUCCUCCGCUCUCUCCUUCAUAUCUUCUCUCCUCCGCUCUCUCUCUUCAUAUCCUCUCUCUCUCUCUUCAUAUCCUCUCUCCUCCUCUCUCCUUCUCUCUCUCCUCCGCUCUCUCCUCUCUCUCCUCCACUCUCUCCUUCAUAUAUUCUCUCCUUUGCUCUCUCUUCAUAUCCUCUCUCUCUCUCUUCAUAUCCUCUCUCUCCUCUCUCUCCUUCUCUCUCUCUUUAUAUCCUCUCUCCUUCUCUCUCUUCAUAUCCUCUCUCCUUCUCUCUCUUCAUAUCCUCUCUCCUUCUCUCUCUCCUUAUCUCUCUCUUCAUAUCCUCUCUCCUUCUCUCUCUCUUCAUAUCCUCUCUCCUUCUUUCUCUCCUUCUCUCUCUUCAUAUCCUCUCUCCUUCUCUCUCUUUAUAUCCUCUCUCCUUCUCUCUCUUCAUAUCCUCUCUCUCCUCUCUCUCCUUCUCUCUCUCUUCAUAUCCUCUCUCCUUCUCUCUCUCUUCAUAUCCUCUCUCCUUCUCUCUCUUCAUAUCCUUUCUCCUUCUCUCUCUCCUCUCUCUCUUCAUAUCCUCUCUCCUCCUCCUCUCUCCUUAUCUCUCCCCUUCUCUCUCUCCUCCGCUCUCUCUCUUCAUAUCCUCUCUCAUCCGCUCUCUCUCUCUUCAUAUCCUCUCUCCUCCGCUCUCUCCUUCUCUCUCCUCCUCUCUCUCCUUCUCUCUCUCUUCAUAUCCUCUCUCCUUCUCUCCCUCCUUCUCUCUUUCUACAUAUCCUCUCUCCUUAUCUAUCUCCUUCUCUCUCUCUUCAUAUCCUCUUUCCUUCUCUCUCUCUUCAUAG
This is a long non-coding RNA of Oncorhynchus mykiss (rainbow trout), 2181 nucleotides long. The record is from Ensembl. Lineage: Eukaryota; Metazoa; Chordata; Actinopteri; Salmoniformes; Salmonidae.